GCCAGGCAUGGUGGUGCAUGCCUGUAAUCCCAGCUACUCAGGAGGCUAAAGCAAGAGGAUUGCAAGUUUAAGGUCAGACUGGGCAAUUAAGCAAGCCAUUAGAAACUUAGCAAGUCUCUAUUUUGA
This 126-nucleotide small RNA is filed under the name Marmota monax (woodchuck). The record is from RNAcentral. Lineage: Eukaryota; Metazoa; Chordata; Mammalia; Rodentia; Sciuridae.